CUUCUAUCAAUCUUAGUGGCGAACGGGUGAGUAACGCGUAAGCAACCUGCCUAUCAGAGGGGAACAACAGUUAGAAAUGACUGCUAAUACCGCAUAUGCCUAAGUACCACAUGGUACAAUAGGGAAAGAAGCAAUUCGCUGAUAGAUGGGCUUGCGUCUGAUUAGAUAGUUGGUGGGGCAACGGCCUACCAAGUCGACGAUCAGUAGCCGGACUGAGAGGUUGAACGGCCACAUUGGGACUGAGAUACGGCCCAGACUCC
This 260-nucleotide ribosomal RNA is filed under the name uncultured Oscillospiraceae bacterium. Its description in RNAcentral is "partial 16S ribosomal RNA". It matches the Rfam family "Bacterial small subunit ribosomal RNA", at positions 80 to 339 of the family's 1533-position model. The record is from RNAcentral. Lineage: Bacteria; Bacillati; Bacillota; Clostridia; Eubacteriales; Oscillospiraceae.